ACUAACUAUAUAUGGUUAUGAAGUGGAACGAGACGAACGCAAACAAAAAGAGACG
RNAcentral lists this small RNA (55 nucleotides) under Caenorhabditis elegans. RNAcentral describes it as "Unclassified non-coding RNA F10F2.12". Lineage: Eukaryota; Metazoa; Nematoda; Chromadorea; Rhabditida; Rhabditidae. The record is from RNAcentral.